Long non-coding RNA from Tachysurus fulvidraco (yellow catfish), 671 nucleotides. RefSeq lists it as uncharacterized. The record is from RefSeq and is a predicted model, not a curated record. The transcript has 2 exons. Lineage: Eukaryota; Metazoa; Chordata; Actinopteri; Siluriformes; Bagridae.
CACACACACACACACAAAACUUUUGAUGGCGAGAGUUGAGGGCUUAAAACAACCACCUUAUCAUGACUCUUCUCAUGGUCACAUGCCCGUCGCUUAUAUAACAUUAAAACAUGGCAAAAACAUGGCGAGCAUUAAUGUUAAAGGUUAUUUUUAAAUGUUCUUUACAAGUUUAACCAGCCAACAUUUCCCAUAUCAGGUUGGUGCAGGUUGUGUACGUUCACGUUUUUGUUUUUUAAAUGUUAGAAUGAUAUUGAAUUAAGUCACUAAAAUGACUUAAAGUCACUAAAAUGACUCCCUCACCCCGGUGCCUCCUGACAUCUAGUGGGAAAGUGAAACGUGCACUAAAAUGCAACCAUGAGAAAACGUUUAGGACAAAACUGAAUCAUCAAAUCGAUCACCUAAUGCUGAGCAGAAACGUUCAAGCAAGUCUGCUGGUAAGCCUGGAUAUUUCUUGCAGCUUUCGCGCAGCAUCAAACAUUGCCUUGUGAAGAUUGGCGAGAACAAAAUAUGAAGAGAGAUUAGUCUACCUCCUGAAUCUAUCGUUAUUCUCCUCUGUGUGUUGGACUUCCAUGGUCUGCAAGAACUGUAACACAUGGCCAGUUUUCAAAGCCACAUUUGAUAUUGUAUCAACAUUCUUUAUUCUGAAUGCAAUAUUAAAUUAUUGACUGCAA